Molecule: non-coding RNA, 54 nt
Organism: Salmo salar (Atlantic salmon)
Lineage: Eukaryota; Metazoa; Chordata; Actinopteri; Salmoniformes; Salmonidae
Source: Rfam
UGCAUUCACUACUGUAAGUCGCUCUAGAUAAGAGCUUCUGCUAAAUGACUAAAA